Molecule: ribosomal RNA, 460 nt
Filed under: uncultured bacterium
Lineage: Bacteria
Description: partial 16S ribosomal RNA
Rfam family: Bacterial small subunit ribosomal RNA
Source: RNAcentral
CCUACGGGUGGCAGCAGUGAGGAAUAUUGGUCAAUGGACGAGAGUCUGAACCAGCCAAGUAGCGUGAAGGAUGACUGCCCUAUGGGUUGUAAACUUCUUUUAUAUGGGAAUAAAAUGUUCCACGUGUGGGAUUUUGUAUGUACCAUAUGAAUAAGGAUCGGCUAACUCCGUGCCAGCAGCCGCGGUAAUACGGAGGAUCCGAGCGUUCUCCGGAUUUAGUGGGUUUAAAGGGAGCGUAGGUGGCUUGUUAAGUCAGUUGUGAAGGUUUGCGGCUCAACCGUAAAAUUGCAGUUGAAACUGGCAGUCUUGAGUACAGUAGAGGUGGGCGGAAUUCGUGGUGUAGCGGUGAAAUGCUUAGAUAUCACGAAGAACUCCGGUUGCGAAGGCAGCUCACUGGACUGCAACUGACACUGAGGCUCGAAAGUGUGGGUAUCAAACAGGAUUAGAUACCCGUGUAGUC